GACGACCGCUGCGUUGCCGCUUUCGGGCGGGGACGGGGAGGAAAGUCCGAACUCCAGAGGGCAGUGCGCCGGGUAACCCCCGGUCAGGGUGACCUGAAGGAAAGUGGCACAGAAAAUAUACCGCCUGUCUACGCGAGUAGGCAGGUAAGGGUGAAAAGGUGCGGUAAGAGCGCACCGCGUUCGCCGUAAGGCGAAUGGCAGGCUAAACCCCGCACGGAGCAAGACCAAAUAGGGAGGCGCUGUAGGGCAGCCCGUCCGAAGCCUCCGGGUAGGUCGCUGGAUCCUGUCAGUGAUGACGGGACUAGAGGAAUGGUCGUCGCCUGGUCGCGGUCCCUCUGGGGUCACGGCCGGGAACAGAAUUCGGCUUAUCGUCUCUCU
RNAcentral lists this RNase P RNA (378 nucleotides) under marine eukaryotic metagenome. Its description in RNAcentral is "Bacterial RNase P class A". It matches the Rfam family "Bacterial RNase P class A". Rfam says of the family: Ribonuclease P (RNase P) is a ubiquitous endoribonuclease, found in archaea, bacteria and eukarya as well as chloroplasts and mitochondria. The record is from RNAcentral.